Molecule: long non-coding RNA, 489 nt
Organism: Xenopus tropicalis (tropical clawed frog)
Lineage: Eukaryota; Metazoa; Chordata; Amphibia; Anura; Pipidae
Exons: 3
Source: RefSeq, a predicted model, not a curated record
AGGGACGAUAUCGGUGCGAUUAAUGUGCUACUGGAGUCGGCCGAGGAAACCAGGGAAUUGGAAGCUACAGGGACCCCGCACUCAGGUCUGUGCCAAGAUGCCCGUGUCCUGCAGGAGCCGCUGCUGCUCGUCGCCCCCCCGGGCACAAACGUCUCCCUGAGGUGCCGCCUGAGAGACAGCAGCCUGAGCAACACUCUGUGUCUGUCUCUCAGCAGAUGUUGCUCAGACUCCGGGGCUGGUUCUGGUUCCCCCGGGGGCAAACGUGACCCUUGAGUGUGAGCACCCCGACUCCGGGUUCCUCUAUAAGUUCUGGUACCGACAGGAGAAGAACCGACCCCUCACCCUCAUUGGGUCCACAUACAGCACCCAAAGCCCAAACAUGGAGAGAGAAUUCGGUUCCAACAGAACCAUCAUUGAGCCCAAAACUGCUGAGAGAAGUCUCCUAUUGAUCCUCACAGUGUCGGGCCGGGACAGCGCCACCUAUUACUG